Molecule: ribosomal RNA, 254 nt
Filed under: uncultured bacterium
Lineage: Bacteria
Description: partial 16S ribosomal RNA
Rfam family: Bacterial small subunit ribosomal RNA
Source: RNAcentral
UACGGGGGGAGCAAGCGUUGUUCGGAUUUACUGGGCGUAAAGGGCGCGUAGGCGGCCAGCACAAGUCAGUUGUGAAAUCUCCGAGCUUAACUCGGAAAGGUCAACUGAUACUGUGCGGCUAGAGUGCGGAAGGGGCAACUGGAAUUCUCGGUGUAGCGGUGAAAUGCGUAGAUAUCGAGAGGAACACCUGCGGCGAAGGCGGGUUGCUGGGCUGACACUGACGCUGAUGUGCGAAAGCUAGGGGAGCGAACGGG